This 342-nucleotide ribosomal RNA is filed under the name uncultured bacterium. RNAcentral describes it as "bacterial SSU rRNA". It matches the Rfam family "Bacterial small subunit ribosomal RNA", at positions 32 to 352 of the family's 1533-position model. The record is from RNAcentral.
AAUCAACGCUGGCGGCGUGCCUCAGACAUGCAAGUCGAACGCUGCUGUUCGCCUUCGGGUGGACAGCGGAGUGGCGCACGGGUGAGUAACACGUAGGUAAUCUACCUUUGGGUGGGAAUAACAGCCGGAAACGGCUGCUAAUACCGCAUAAUGCAGCGGCAUCACAUGAUGACAGUUGUUAAAGCGAGGGAUCGUAAGACCUCGCGCCUGAAGAGGAGCCUGCGGCAGAUUAGGUAGUUGGUGAGGUAAUGGCUCACCAAGCCUGCGAUCUGUAACCGGCCUGAGAGGGCGGGUCGGUCACACUGACACUGACAUACGGGUCAGACUCCUACGGGAGGCAGC